CCUCCUCUUCUUGGCGGAGGUAGGGCAUGUGGUCCCAGUCCCUAUGAGGUACGGAGGCAGAGGGAAAGGGUUCUGGCCCCACUUGGCAUCAGGUCUUCGGUGCCGACGGUUUCCAGUCCGCGGUUCUAUCCUCAAGAGCCGCGACACUG
This is a small nucleolar RNA of Phyllostomus hastatus (greater spear-nosed bat), 149 nucleotides long. RefSeq annotates it as small nucleolar RNA SNORA57. Lineage: Eukaryota; Metazoa; Chordata; Mammalia; Chiroptera; Phyllostomidae. The record is from RefSeq and is a predicted model, not a curated record. The transcript has a single exon.